CGGUUAAUUGUGAUCUCUCAGUGUAAACACGGUGUUCGGAUUCCCCCCGAAUCCCUCCGAGUGGUUUAAUCCAGCAGCAGCAGCAGCAGCAGCAGAGGCUCCGCUGUGGGUCUGGUCUCGCUCGUGCAGCGCUGCAGCAGCACUCUGGGGCUCGUGUGCAGGUGUGUGCUGUCCACCGUGUUGAGGUGAGGGUGUGGUUGCCAUGGUAACCAUGCCUGUGUUGCCCCUGCCUUCUCCUGGACCCUUUAUCUGCCUCCUCCUCUCCCUGCCACUCAUUAUGUCCCAGAAUCCUCCCCUCCACGUGAACCCGACCGCGAACCCUGACCCGCUGCCCUCCCGCUCUCAGCAGUGCAGCAGGAAGGAGCAUCCGGUUACAUCCUAUACAGCUUUGACCCCCUGGCUCUCAUCCUUUUCGAUGUCUGAAGUGUAUGAUUAUUCCCAGCUCACUGUGGACCUCAGCAGGAGCCAGCUGAUAGUGGGGGCCAGGUAACGCAACUAACGCAAGAAUGCACCACACACACACACACACACACACCAUACACACACACACUCACACACAAAUCAAAAAUGUCUGUGUUCUGAUAUUUUCUUUCUUUGAUCUCUCUCUGUGUCUAUAGAAACUAUCUGUUCAGACUGAAUCUGACUGAUCUCUCUCUAUUACAGGUAAGCUGAGUAACGUUCUCUCUAUCUCACACACAUACACACACACACUCCAUUUCAUCUAAUUCCAGGCACACACACACACACACACACCUUUUUAAGUGUUUUCACCUGUUCCCGAUUGCUCUCUCACACACACACACACACACACACACAGAUACACACUUAAAACCCACAGCUGGGCAGACAUCUGUGUGUGUGUGUUGGAGUGCCAGUUCUUUGGUAUAGAUCAGACAGGAGUGUGUGAGCCUGAUGUUCUUCAUCAUCUUUGCUCUUUCUGAUGCUCAGAAUCAGAAUAUUUAUUCCCCAUGUUCAGAUCUACAAGGAACUGUUCGUAUUAUUAGUGCCAAAACAGCAAACAUCAAAUACUAACAGAAAUACCAACUACUGACAAAUACCAAUCAGAUAUCAAAUACCAAUCAUACUUUUAG
RNAcentral lists this long non-coding RNA (1091 nucleotides) under Astyanax mexicanus (Mexican tetra). Its description in RNAcentral is "lncRNA (ENSAMXG00005020258.1)". The record is from RNAcentral. Lineage: Eukaryota; Metazoa; Chordata; Actinopteri; Characiformes; Acestrorhamphidae.